UUUGAAGUAGCUGUACAUUAGCGCUGGCCUUUUAAGCCAGAGAUGGAUGUCUUAUCCCACAAAG
This 64-nucleotide transfer RNA is filed under the name Gekko swinhonis (Peking gecko). RNAcentral's name for it is "tRNA-Lys". Lineage: Eukaryota; Metazoa; Chordata; Lepidosauria; Squamata; Gekkonidae. The record is from RNAcentral.